RNAcentral lists this small nuclear RNA (326 nucleotides) under Rhinopithecus roxellana (golden snub-nosed monkey). RNAcentral describes it as "7SK RNA (ENSRROG00000007832.1)". It matches the Rfam family "7SK RNA". From Rfam's summary of the family: 7SK was discovered as an abundant small nuclear RNA in the mid-70s but a possible function has only recently been suggested. Two independent studies have found that 7SK RNA binds the CDK9/cyclin T complex (known as elongation factor P-TEFb). P-TEFb activates transcription by phosphorylating the C-terminal domain of RNA polymerase II. Lineage: Eukaryota; Metazoa; Chordata; Mammalia; Primates; Cercopithecidae. The record is from RNAcentral.
GGAUGUGAGGGCGAUCUGGCUGCGACAUCUGUCACCCCAUUGAUCGCCAGGGUUGAUUCGGCUGAUCUGGCUGGCUAGGCGGGUGUCCCCUUCCUCCCUCACCGCUCCAUGUGCGUCCCUCCCGAAGCUGCGCGCUCGGUCGAAGAGGACGACCAUCCCCGCUAGAGGAGGACCGGUCUUCGGUCAAGGGUAUACGAGUAGCUGCGCUCCCCUGCUAGAACCUCCAAACAAGCUCUCAAGAACACUGAUUUUGGAGCCAGGCAGACUUGCUUUUCAAAGUUGGCCUUGCCACUUACUAGAAAUGGUAUACAGUAAGCUACUUAAGU